Molecule: non-coding RNA, 543 nt
Organism: Podarcis lilfordi (Lilford's wall lizard)
Lineage: Eukaryota; Metazoa; Chordata; Lepidosauria; Squamata; Lacertidae
Source: the annotation of a GenBank genome assembly
CUUUUAUUUUACUCCAUGAAGGAAGGACUACAAAAUAGGGAAGGUUUGAUACAGGGCAGCCAUAAUCCCUUGAGCAUACCAGCACAUACACAGGAGCCCUGCCCAGUUGCUAUGCCAACCCUGAUGGUCCUAGACAGAAGACCAUCAAGAUCACAAAGAACUUGCAUAUGGGAGUGGAUUCAGCACGGACUGGAACAAAGGACAAUAAUCAGCUCUUCCCUCUGGGGGCAGGAAACUGCAAACUCCCCUCUGUCACCUGGAAAGUACUCAUGGGGAGGGGGAAAGGGGGAACCAGCCAGGUGACAGGACACUCAGGUUACCACCACAACUCCUCCCUCAACCCCUCCUUUCUGUGAUGUAGGUGUGAUGUAUCUGAGGGGUGGUCUUAGGUUACAUCCCUUCUGUGAUGUAUGUAUGAUGUUUCUGGGGGUGGUCUUGAGCUACAGGGUGGCAAUUUCAAAAGUCUUUAUAAGGCCUUGCACACCAUUUUUCUGGGUCCCUCCUCUCUCCUGCAGGUGAGGGGAGCACCCUGUUGCAACAGAU